GGGUCCGGACACACUGAGGAUUGACAGGCGUUUGUGGUUUAGCAUCUGGCUUCGGUUAGCUCUGCUUUUCUACUAUAAAUAUGCUAGUCCUUUCAUGAUUGUGUGAUAGGUGGUGCAUGGCCGUUCUUAGUUCGUGGAGUGAUCUGUCUGCUUAAUUGCGUUUCACAAAGAACUCUUUAACUUUUACCUGUUGCGCGUCACUGCGCUCUCUGAGACGGUGUCUGUGCACGGUAAAGAAAAAGUUCUGAAGGCAACGAACGUGACCGCAACCUCUUGUUGCCUCCUUUUUUCAAACAUGAGAGUACUGUCUUGCCUCGUGUGAGCUGUGCUUCUCUGCAUGGAGUGCUAACUAGAGGGACCGCUGACAACUUUUAAAACAGAGGAAGGUUGCGGCAAUAACAGGUCUGUGAUGCCCUUAGAUGUUCCGGGCUGCACACGUGCUACAAUGAUUAUUGCAGUGAGCAUCUAACUAAAAAAGCUCGAGUUUGUGUUUAGUUGCACUUGUGUAACUUUACAUAGCUCGGCUACUGACCUGCUUCGAAAGUAAGCAGGU
RNAcentral lists this ribosomal RNA (553 nucleotides) under Psammophaga magnetica. RNAcentral's name for it is "SSU rRNA". It matches the Rfam family "Eukaryotic small subunit ribosomal RNA", at positions 1220 to 1547 of the family's 1831-position model. The record is from RNAcentral. Lineage: Eukaryota; Foraminifera.